AAUAGAUACCCAGGUAGUCCACGCCGUAAACGGUGAGUGCUAAGUGUUAGAGGGUUUCCGCCCUUUAGUGCUGAAGUUAACGCAUUAAGCACUCCGCCUGGGGAGUACGGCCGCAAGGCUGAAACUCAAAGGAAUUGACGGGGGCCCGCACAAGCGGUGGAGCAUGUGGUUUAAUUCGAAGCAACGCGAAGAACCUUACCAGGUCUUGACAUCCUCUGACAACCCUAGAGAUAGGGCUUCUCCUUCGGGAGCAGAGUGACAGGUGGUGCAUGGUUGUCGUCAGCUCGUGUCGUGAGAUGUUGGGUUAAGUCCCGCAACGAGCGCAACCCUUGAUCUUAGUUACCAUCAUUAAGUUGGGCACUCUAAGGUGACUGCCGGUGACAAACCGGAGGAAGGUGGGGAUGACGUCAAAUCAUCAUGCCCCUUAUGACCUGGGCUACACACGUGCUACAAUGGACGGUACAAAGAGCUGCAAGACCGCGAGGUGGAGCUAAUCUCAUAAAAACCGUUCUCAGUUCGGAUUGUAGGCUGCAACUCG
This 538-nucleotide ribosomal RNA is filed under the name uncultured bacterium. RNAcentral describes it as "bacterial SSU rRNA". It matches the Rfam family "Bacterial small subunit ribosomal RNA", at positions 777 to 1314 of the family's 1533-position model. The record is from RNAcentral.